Molecule: long non-coding RNA, 2249 nt
Organism: Alligator mississippiensis (American alligator)
Lineage: Eukaryota; Metazoa; Chordata; Crocodylia; Alligatoridae
Exons: 4
Source: RefSeq, a predicted model, not a curated record
AUUGCCUGGUUGGAGCUGCUGCUCAGGAACACCUGGAGGACAGGGCAAGGAACUAUGGGCAUGGCAGGAGGUUCCUGGUCCUGGGAAUGACCUAAAAUUAGCCCUGCUGGGCUGGAUGGUGUGGUGGAGCUGUUUGUGGCACAGCAGCUUCCAGGAAAUGCCACGUGUGCCUCCCCAGUGAAGGGUGCCCAUACAAAGGAAGUAACAGCAAUAAGUGCCCACCUUACACUUCUUGAAUUACCUGUAUCAUGCUCCAGGGACAAAGCAGACACAAAAGCAUUAAUUGGGGUGCCUUAGAGGAACACACCAGAAAAGAGAGCAUUGAUAGAAGAGCAGUAGUAGAAUCAAAAAAAGGAAACACUGCUUCAAGGUCUGGUUCCCUUUUGCAAACAUGGGCAUGAUAUGACUAGGAAGUAUUUGCUUUCAGGACAUGGCUACCUUGGUAUCAAAGUUAAGAACAGCUAAAGAAAUAAAUGAUGAAACUACUGCUGGAGCUGGAAUUACUUCACUGAGGUUUCAUGCUGCCAUGGUAUAAAGGAGAAUAAAUACCAUAGGAGCCUCAGUAGUAGAGGAAAUAAUGGUUAGUUUCACUGCUGUAGACCAGGAGCCAGUGGAGUUAUAUAUGUCAGCAGUGACCUUUUCUUAUACGGUACUUCCUUCAAACUGCCCCACCUGAAAAAUCAACCAAUUUUAACAUGCUAUGUGCACUACUCUGGGAUAGAAAUAUAUUUUCUCUAUAGCCAGACCUAUGCCUAUCUGAAAUAUCCAUAUUUCAGCUUCUGUUUACACACCAGCAAGCAGGCAGACGUGGCUUGGGGCUAGUCUAUUCACAGCUGUUCUUCAGUGCAAAGAGGGAUUGAGCACUCACUAAUUUCCUUAGUUCUCACCACCACCCUUUUCUCCUUUUUCCUAUUUUAGAGCCUUUGUUGAUCAGUUGCUUGAAAGUGAAAUUUCUCAAGAAAAGCCAAAGUCAGUGCUAUUAUUGGAGGGGAUAUUAUGAAAGUGCCAACAAAACUCUCCUCUCCCUCCCUCCCCCCUCCCCCCCCCGGAAGAAUUUCGGUUCCUAACUGAAUCAAAAGCGUGUUUGAAGAUUUCACUCUUCCAGUCGGUCUCAAAGCCAUCUGUGGCAACUGCACGAUCCCUAUUGUGUGCCCCAUACUGAAGUCCCAGAAUAUAAUAGCCUCUCAGAUGACGCAUCACACAUACAGUACAGUGUUCAUAUUGAAUAUAUCUAUACUUGAAAGCAGGGCAGCUUGGGUCAAUAACAAAGCUGUUCUACAAUUGUCCAGAAAAAAAAUUUCCAUUUAGACAAAAUCAUCUUUCUGAAACUUUGGUGGAUUUCUGCCUGAAGCCUUCCUGGCUAUCUCUUUAGUUCCUGCCUUUCUGACUGUUUAAUGCCUGGCCUUCUUAGGGCUUGGGUUCAAAGGCAGCCCUGUCAGGGGGGAGUGACCCUGGGCUUUCACUCUUCUACCCGGGAGCUGAAAGAUCCAGGACAGCGGUUCCCAGGCUUUUUGGCCUCGAGGCCCCCCUCAUUAGAUUUGAGACACCUUUCCAUAACUUUUGUAAAUUGAGUGACAUCCACUUUCAAAAACUAGUUUAUGUAUUACAGUGCUUACCUCCCUGCAGAGAGGCUCAGCAAUGGAGGUGGGGAAUCACUUGCUCGACUGGGAAAUCACAGUCAUUUUUAGGCAGCUAUCUUUGUGAAAGCUAAACAUGGGUCUAAUGGUCUUUUUUUUUUUUACUAGAAUAGAUGAGAGAAAUACACAUUUUAAAGAGAUCUAAGUACCAUGACUUGUCUGGUCCAUACUGACCAUUUAAUUCAUAUUAGCAGCAUCUAUUUUAAAAUUUGUCUAGUGAGAAAUUAGAGAAAAAAGUAAUGAGAAUUGAACAACCUGUAAUUUGCCCAUCUUCUUUCCUACUUUAUGUCUCUUUCCUUUUUUGGAAGGAAAGGGGAAGGGGGAGUGGAAGGUGGGAAGGAUUCAGCCUUUGAACACACUGUAGAGAAUGCAGCUUUCCAUCUCUGAAGCUGUUUCCCCAAUCACAGCUAUUCCUAAUUAACUCCCUGACUCAAUUCUCUCAAAUCUGGAACAAUAUGGCAUUUUAUAAUAGUGUUGUAAGAAGGAAUUUUUACUGACUAACUAUUCUGUUUAAAGACUGAUGGGAUAACAUAAACCAUAGCUCCCUGCCACUAGUACUCCAAUGUUGAGAAUGAAGCCAGUUGUUAAAACUGUAACAUUUUUUCUCAAAAU